UACGGAGGGAGCUAGCGUUAUUCGGAAUUACUGGGCGUAAAGCGCACGUAGGCGGCUUUGUAAGUAAGAGGUGAAAGCCUGGAGCUCAACUCCAGAACUGCCUUUUAGACUGCAUCGCUUGAAUCCAGGAGAGGUGAGUGGAAUUCCGAGUGUAGAGGUGAAAAUUCGUAGAUAUUCGGAAGAAACACCAGUGGCGAAGGCGGCUCACUGGACUGGUAUUGACGCUGAGGUGCGAAAGCGUGGGGAGCAAACAGG
This 255-nucleotide ribosomal RNA is filed under the name uncultured bacterium. RNAcentral's name for it is "partial 16S ribosomal RNA". It matches the Rfam family "Bacterial small subunit ribosomal RNA", at positions 524 to 776 of the family's 1533-position model. The record is from RNAcentral.